AACGAACGCUGGCGGCAUGCCUAACACAUGCAAGUCGAACGAGACCUUCGGGUCUAGUGGCGCACGGGUGCGUAACGCGUGGGAACCUGCCCUUAGGUCGGAAUAACUUCCCGGAAGGGGUUGCUAUACCGGGUUAUUGUCUUGGAACAAAGGAUUUAUGCCUUUUGAUGGGGCCGGGGUGGGUUUAGAUAGUUGUUAGGGUAAAAGCCUACAAAGGGGAGGAUCAAUAGUUGGUCUGAGAGGAUGAUCAGCCACACUGGGACUAGGACACGGCCCAGACUCCUACGGGAUGCAGCAGUGGGGAAUAUUGGACAAUGGGCGAAAGCCUGAUCCAGCAAUGCCGCGUGAGUGAUGAAGGCCUUAGGGUUGUAAAGCUCUUUUACCCGGGAUGAUAAUGACAGUACCGGGAGAAUAAGCUCCGGCUAACUCCGUG
This 433-nucleotide ribosomal RNA is filed under the name uncultured bacterium. Its description in RNAcentral is "partial 16S ribosomal RNA". It matches the Rfam family "Bacterial small subunit ribosomal RNA", at positions 29 to 507 of the family's 1533-position model. The record is from RNAcentral.